UUCUCUUCUCUCAACCUUUCUCCACCACCACCACCACCCCAAUAAUAACCGGCCACCACCACCAUUUCAAGCCACCACUUUCUCUUCUCCAUCUUCUUUAUCUUCUCCAUAACAACCGACCACCACUUUUGGCCUCCCGAAACACCUAAACCCACCUCCCCGCUCAAAAAGCACAUGAAACCCACCACCAUUUCCGGCCACCACUUCAGAUAUAACUCUAGAUCUGAAAAGCGUAUGUGGAUCUGACAACGUAAGUCAAUCGGAACUCUAGAUCUGAACCAGACGCACCUGAAAACCAUCGCCAUUUCCGGCCACCACUUCAGAAAUAACCGGCCACCACCACGUCGCUGAUGAUUGGGGUUAUCCUUUGUAAGGUUCGCUGGAGUUGCCGCAGUUCAGGUUUGAAAUUGGCUGUUUUUAUUUCUACAGGUACAACCGAUGCACUAAGUUUGGUAAUUGAUUCUGAAAGAAUGAGUCUCCAAGAAGAUCCAUUGUGAUCUAUAGAUCCAAACAAAUUGGAUAUGGGUUUGAAAUUAAUAGAAAAAAAAAAGCUCAGAAUUGGAUGGAUGGUUUCAUAAGUCGAUGCAUUUGGAUGAAUUUGGUGGGUGUUUACAAAGUCCAUCGUGGUCUUGAUUUGUUACCAAAUCACCUAUUAAUUAUACAAAUAGUCAUUGGAUAGGUUAAAAGACCAAAUUACCCUCAUGUGCAAAAUACAUGUCAUAUUUAACUAAAUUUUUAACAUGGUUAGUGCUAAAGGACGUACAGUCUAAUGGUUAUUGCAAAAAAAAAAAAAAGGACUGUGACUGUAAUUAUUGAAGUUAAAGGACAUCCAUUGCAAUUCGGUACAAACAUAAAGAACGAAAAGUGUAAUUUACCCUAUACCUUUCGUUUUAAAAAGAUUUCAUAGCUAUUAUAUAUUUUUUUUUGAUGAAGAACGAUCAAUAUUAACUUUAUUUUUAUAAUAAUAUGUAACUUUUUAUUAUUUUUUAUUUAAUAUAUUAUAACAGUUUAUUAUU
RNAcentral lists this long non-coding RNA (1016 nucleotides) under Helianthus annuus (common sunflower). RNAcentral describes it as "hypothetical non coding rna". Lineage: Eukaryota; Viridiplantae; Streptophyta; Magnoliopsida; Asterales; Asteraceae. The record is from RNAcentral.